CCUACGGGAGGCAGCAGUGAGGAAUAUUGGUCAAUGGACGAGAGUCUGAACCAGCCAAGUAGCGUGAAGGAUGACUGCCCUAUGGGUUGUAAACUUCUUUUAUAUGGGAAUAAAACGUUCCACGUGUGGGAUUUUGUAUGUACCAUAUGAAUAAGGAUCGGCUAACUCCGUGCCAGCAGCCGCGGUAAUAAGGAGGAUCCGAGCGUUAUCCGGAUUUAUUGGGUUUAAAGGGAGCGUAGGUGGAUUGUUAAGUCAGUUGUGAAAGUUUGCGGCUUAACCGUAAAAUUGCAGUUACGACUGGCAGUCUUGAGUACAGUUGAGGUGGGCGGAAUUCGUGGUGUAGCGGUGAAAUGCUUAGAUAUCACGAAGAACUCCGAUUGCGAAGGCAGUUCACUGGACUGCAACUGACACUGAGGCUCGAAAGUGUGGGUAUCAAACAGGAUUAGAUACCCGGGUAGUC
This 460-nucleotide ribosomal RNA is filed under the name uncultured bacterium. Its description in RNAcentral is "partial 16S ribosomal RNA". It matches the Rfam family "Bacterial small subunit ribosomal RNA", at positions 338 to 795 of the family's 1533-position model. The record is from RNAcentral.